GACGAACGCUGGCGGCGUGCUUAACACAUGCAAGUCGAACGGAAAGGCCCUGCUUUUGUGGGGUGCUCGAGUAGCGGACGGGUGAGUAACACGUGGAUAACCUACCUAUAAGACUGGGAUAACUUCGGGAAACCGGAGCUAAUACCGGAUAAUAUAUUGAACCGCAUGGUUCAAUAGUGAAAGACGGUUUUGCUGUCACUUAUAGAUGGAUCCGCGCCGCAUUAGCUAGUUGGUAAGGUAACGGCUUACCAAGGCAACGAUGCGUAGCCGACCUGAGAGGGUGAUCGGCCACACUGGAACUGAGACACGGUCCAGACUCCUACGGGAGGCAGCAGUAGGGAAUCUUCCGCAAUGGGCGAAAGCUUGACGGAGCAACGCCGCGUGAGUGAUGAAGGUCUUCGGAUCGUAAAACUCUGUUAUUAGGGAAGAACAAAUGUGUAAGUAACUAUGCACGUCUUGACGGUACCUAAUCAGAAAGCCACGGCUAACUACGUG
RNAcentral lists this ribosomal RNA (495 nucleotides) under uncultured bacterium. RNAcentral's name for it is "partial 16S ribosomal RNA". It matches the Rfam family "Bacterial small subunit ribosomal RNA", at positions 28 to 507 of the family's 1533-position model. The record is from RNAcentral.